This 253-nucleotide ribosomal RNA is filed under the name uncultured bacterium. RNAcentral describes it as "partial 16S ribosomal RNA". It matches the Rfam family "Bacterial small subunit ribosomal RNA", at positions 524 to 776 of the family's 1533-position model. The record is from RNAcentral.
UACGAAGGGGGCGAGCGUUGUUCGGAUUUACUGGGCGUAAAGGGCGCGCAGGCGGCCAUUCAAGUCAGGCGUGAAAGCCCCGGGCUUAACCUGGGAGGUGCGCUUGGGACUGGGUGGCUAGAGAUCGGGAGAGGAGAGUGGAAUUCCCAGUGUAGAGGUGAAAUUCGUAGAUAUUGGGAAGAACACCGAUGGCGAAGGCACUUUACUGGGCUAUUACUAACACUCAGAGACGAAAGCUAGGGUAGCAAAUGGG